UUACUUCCAAAGGACAUUCAAUCAGGAAAAUAAAAAGAAGGUGCGUCUCGUCUGUCAUGAACUGAUUGAAUGGAGCCGCUAAAGAAGUGUUGUAUUAGAUAUUUUGUACAGAAAAUAAAAAAAAGAAUACUUGUUUUCCCUCUGUAGAUCCCAACCCCAAUGGAAAGAAAUGUUUCUAUUGUGAUGGGAAGAGCUGCUCAAACAUUUUGAGCUGUUUAGGGACUGAAGACCGCUGCAUUAAAGCAACAGUGGCUUUUGGAGGCCAGUCAGUUUCUGUAAAAGGCUGUGCAUCUAAAUCACUUUGUGAUGCUACAACACCGGUUCCUAAUGUUGAUGGCAUCUCAUGUUGUGAGGGGAACCUGUGUAACGGUGCUCAGAGUGUCUCCCAGAGCUUCCUGUUCCUCUGCUGUUCUCUGCUCUCCUACUUCCUGCUGCACUGAAUCCAGCAGCUCUUCAUCCUACAAUCAGACACACUGUACUGAAUAUAGAGCUUGUAUUUUCUCUGUACUGUAUUUUUGGUGUUCUGAUUGUUGUGGAGACGGCUCUAACAAGUAUGAACUGUACUGAAAAUUUCCUAUCAAAAGAACUAAUUCAUCAGGGGAAACCUAGAGUUGAUAUGGUCAAUUUGAUUAUUCAAGGUUUGCAAAAAGAACAAGAUGAAAUCAAGAAGAAACAAGAUGAGGAAGAGAAGAAGAACCACAAGUUCAAUUACUGAGACAACAGCAGAUAAUUAAUUUGAAGUUGAUCAUGCUUAUUAAACAAUCAUGUAUGUUGAAUACUUUUAUGUGUGACUUGGAACAGAUUACAAAUGAGGUUGAAGCUUUGAAUACAAAAGCUUCAGCGCCGGUUGAGUCUGACUAUUAUAUGUAAAGGCCAAAAAGGUCAAAGUGGAAACUGGCCAAGAUGUAUGUUUUAUUUUUCAUUUUUAGAAGUGUUGAAGCAAGCUAACCACAAUAUACGACUUGGGUGCUGAAAGGAGAAGUAUUAAGAGGAACUAAUGUCAACUAAGAUGUAUGCUUUUACCACAAGCUAACCAAUAUGUGUAUUUUUAAUGCAAGCUAUAUGCUUUUUUGCAGAACUAGAAUUGUUUAAGGAACAUCUAGUGUGAAAGUCGUUAAGGUCAAGUUAGUAAAAUGUGUUAAGACGUGUUGCAUGUGUGCAACCCGUGAAUGACCUCUGUAUCUUAUACUUUGACAAAUAAGGAGAUGUUUUAUGUCAGGAAAGAGGAUGUGAUCAGAUUAUCUAUAUUGGAAGUUGUACAACAGAAAAUUGCCACACCUCGGGUGAAGACUUUA
Megalobrama amblycephala (Wuchang bream) is the source of this 1295-nucleotide long non-coding RNA. RefSeq lists it as uncharacterized. Lineage: Eukaryota; Metazoa; Chordata; Actinopteri; Cypriniformes; Xenocyprididae. The transcript is spliced from 2 exons. The record is from RefSeq and is a predicted model, not a curated record.